This 253-nucleotide ribosomal RNA is filed under the name uncultured bacterium. RNAcentral describes it as "partial 16S ribosomal RNA". It matches the Rfam family "Bacterial small subunit ribosomal RNA", at positions 524 to 776 of the family's 1533-position model. The record is from RNAcentral.
UACGUAGGCAGCAAGCGUUGUUCGGAAUUACUGGGCGUAAAGAGUGUGUAGGCGGUGUUACAAGUCUGGUGUGAAAUCUCCCGGCUUAACUGGGAGGGUGCAUUAGAAACUGGAAUGCUAGAGGAUGGGAGAGGUAAGCGGAAUUCCUGGUGUAGCGGUGAAAUGCGUAGAUAUCAGGAGGAACACCUGUGGUGUAGACAGCUUACUGGACCAUUUCUGACGCUGAGACACGAAAGCGUAGGUAGCAAACAGG